This 809-nucleotide non-coding RNA is filed under the name Cherax tenuimanus. The record is from RNAcentral. Lineage: Eukaryota; Metazoa; Arthropoda; Malacostraca; Decapoda; Parastacidae.
UAAAAGUUUGAUUCUUGCUUGUAUUUUUAUUUUAUGAUUGUGUUAUACAUGUAUAUUUUGGUGAGGGGAAAAUGGGGAAUUAAAGAUUCUUUGUGAAAGGUAGGUAAGAUCGCAGUAUUAAGUAUUAAGAAUUGGGUUUAAACUCGAUUUAGUAAAUUAUAAAAAGCUUGAUUAAAUUUUGUGCCAGCAGUCGCGGUUAGACUUAAAAGUUGAGUAAAAAUAUUUUAGUUGGAGUUAUUAAGAUCGUAGAUUUUAAUUUGGGUUUUUGGUAAUAAAAGGUGGAAUUGGUUUAUUAUGGGUAAAUUUAAGUUAAGGAUUAGGAAGAAAGAAGCUCGGAAGAUCAAGGUAUAAACUAGGAUUAGAUACCCUAUUAUACUUGAAAGAGAAAGCCUUAACUUGAAUAUUAAGAGUUAUGAGCUUUAAAUUCAGAGAAUUUGGCGGUAUUUUAGUCUUGUUAGAGGAACCUGUUCUGUAAGCGAUACAACACGUAGAAUCCUACUUACUCUUGUUUUCAGCUUGUAUACCGUCAUUAUUAGAUAACCUUUAUUGGGUGAGUUAUUGAAUUAUAAAAAAUUAAAUAUAUUAGAUCAAGGUGCAGUUGAUGGGUAAGAAGAAAUGGGUUACAAUAAAAUUUAUUUAAACGAAUUGAUAGUUGAAAAGUUAUUAUGAAGGAGGAUUUAAUUGUAAUAUAAAUUUAAUAAGUUUAUAUGAUAUGAGAACUAAAAUAUGUACAUAUCGCCCGUCGCUUCCAUUUAAGGUGGAAUAAGUCGUAACAUAGUAGGUGUACUGGAAGGUGUACCUAGAAUUAU